CCAAAAACAUAGCCCUUGAAAAUAUCAAAGGUGUAACCUGCCCAAUGAUUAAAGAUUAAAUAAAACUAAUAUUUUUAUAAUAUAAUUAAAAGGACGCAGUAACCUGACUGUGAUAAUGUAGCAUAAUCAUUCGCCAUUUAAUUGAUGGAUAGUAUGAAUGGUUGAACGAAUUCUUCACUGUCUUAAAAAAAGAAGUCAUGAAAUUAAAAUAAUAGUUAAGAUGCUAUUUAAAAUUGUAAGACGAAAAGACCCUAUAGAGCUUAACUAUUAAUUUCUUUAAAAAUUAAAAAUCACUAGGAAAUUAGGUAGUUUAGUUGGGGCGACUAUCCUCUAAAAAUAACGAGGACAAGCAAUGUUAAUAUAACUUAUUGUAUAAUUAAUAAAUUUAACAAUUACAAAAGUAGGCUAUAAUGACCCGUUAUUAUAAAAAAAUAUAAAUAACGAUCAAUAAAUAAAAGCUACCUUAGGGAUAACAGGAUAAUUUUGUCCUAGAGACCAUAUCGAAGACAAAGUUUGUCACCUCUAUGUUGAAUUAAGAUAUCCUGAUAAUGCAGAAGUUAUCAAAGGUGGGUCUGUUCGACCCUUAAAAUCUUACAUGAUUU
This 602-nucleotide ribosomal RNA is filed under the name Schuchertinia epiconcha. Its description in RNAcentral is "partial 16S ribosomal RNA". It matches the Rfam family "Bacterial large subunit ribosomal RNA", at positions 1807 to 2606 of the family's 2925-position model. The record is from RNAcentral. Lineage: Eukaryota; Metazoa; Cnidaria; Hydrozoa; Anthoathecata; Hydractiniidae.